AUAAGUGAAGAAUAUUUAUAUCCCUGAUUGUUAUAGUUGGUGGUCCGGAUUCCAGUUUAUUUCUCUAAUUUGAUGUAGGAAAUGGAUUGUAAUUUGCACGUGAGGUGGGGCUUUUGAUUGGGCCUUGUGGUGGUUGGAUCCGCUAACAGAUAGGGAGAAGCAUGAUAGAUCGGGCAGAGAUCGCAGGUCGCGGCCAUGGGAGAGCAGGGGAGGCGUGGUUUACGUGAUGGAUAUGUAGUAGGGGAGGGUGAGGAGGACGGGCAUGUGGGAAGGCACAGCAAUGCCGGAGCUAAAGCGGGCGCUUGUGUCACGGUGGUGCUUGCUGGUCAUCGUCCCUAAUCUCCAAGUGCAGAUUGGACGAUGAAGAGACGAGGAAGGAUGUUAGGAAGAGUGAAGAACAAGGCGGACCUUCUCUGGUGGAAGAACAAGAUGAACCCUCUUUUGUGGGUCCUGUUUUUGGCAAAAUAUGUGGGGACUCGAAUGACAAUGAGCAGGUGCCAUUAAUUCCUACAAUGGCCUUUUUCUUCUUCUCAGAAGCCAGAUAAUGUUCAGUUGGAAGAGAUGGAUAUGAGGUGGCGGAAUGGCAAGGCGUCUGGUCAGAUGACCUGUGUCUGUGGUCAGUUGGUGGAUCUCGACUACAGGAACAUCACCGAUGCAAUCCAUAGUAGAUUGAUGAAUCCAUUCUGAUGAGCUUUGUAAAUAUUAGAUAAAAUUUGAUGUUGUCCCCUUGAGAUUAAACAGAUGCGUCACACUAUCAGACGAAAUGCGUGUUACAUCAAACAAAAUCCAUGAUCGAGCUACCUUGGACCCUACUGCUUCAAGCACUAUCUAAGAAAGGCAUAUGAUCCAGACUCAGAUUCAAGCUGCAUUGAGGGUUAUGCUUGAGACAUGGAUGAUGGCUACAACCACUAUGUGCGACCGUAGGCUGCGGCGGAGACAGGAUGCCUGGGGCAUGAGGCUGAUUCCC
This is a long non-coding RNA of Triticum aestivum (bread wheat), 967 nucleotides long. RefSeq lists it as uncharacterized. The record is from RefSeq and is a predicted model, not a curated record. The transcript has 8 exons. Lineage: Eukaryota; Viridiplantae; Streptophyta; Magnoliopsida; Poales; Poaceae.